Molecule: microRNA, 18 nt
Filed under: Mus musculus (house mouse)
Lineage: Eukaryota; Metazoa; Chordata; Mammalia; Rodentia; Muridae
Description: mmu-miR-696
Gene: mmu-miR-696
Source: miRBase by way of RNAcentral
GCGUGUGCUUGCUGUGGG